UUAAUAUAUCUGAUACGAAUUUUGAACCAGAUCCGUUUGCUUACAUUAUAGAACUUUAGGAAUGAGGAGUAAUUGUUUUUAAUAAAUAGUAUUUACUUUCCGUGGAAUUCUUGACAUGAGAAACUCAAAAAGCCCUACAAAAACAUAGAAACUGCGCAGCGCCGCAAGAAGCACUGAUCCAAACGGAGCCGCGAAAAAGCAAUUCCGCAAGUGAAACACAGGUAUAGGAAGGAAGACACCCAUACAUGACCUCAUAUUUUCCAAUUCUAAGUCUAUCCCUAUGAAUUCCAAUGAAUUCCGAGAUAGAUUUAGAAUUAGAAAAGCUAAGGUCCAUGGAUGGAUUAGAAUUUGCCAAGUGUCCAAGCGAAAGCCGAAGAGGCAACUAAGAAGAGGUUGUUGCAGAUGCUAAAUUGAAAACAUUGUUUGGUAAAGAUAAGUGCGAGUUGGAGAGUGAGGUAAAUGAUGGGAAUACAUCGCUAUUCCACACACUUCAUUCCGUAUUUCUUUUAUUUAAAUAUUAAAUAUAGGCCUCUUAGGAAUUGUGUAGAAGAAACUGAUCUUUGAUACAAUCGUAGUUUAUGCUUCCAUUUUUGUUUGUUAAACCCACUUGGCUAGUCUAUUCAGAGCUUUGCUCUCACUUCGAAUGAGUCCCAUAAGUGGACGGUGGAAUUGAACCCCUUAGAUUGUUCGGAUCCAGAGUUUUAAAAAAUGAAUAAAAAAAUAGGUAAAACUGAAUUUUAAACCAUAUGGUAUUUGUCUCCACAAUUGAUAAUAUUUUGAUUUGGAUUUUUUUGCCUCUUGUGGGAGCCUCAUGCGCUAGGGCGCUAGAUUGGUAUAUGGAUAUCACUUGUUCUGUGUAUAAAUUACGAGAAACUAUCCUUCUUUAUUGUACUAAGAAUUGUAUAGAAGAAAAUGUAAGAAAUAUGAAAAGAAAAUUAACAAAUACAAAAUAAAUAAGUAAAGAUAAUCUACUACAUAUAAUAACAUUGAUUAUGCAAUUGUUUAAUUGAUUUGAUUUUGCUAAGUCGGGGGUCAUCAUGAAGCAGAGCUAGUUUGAAAAAAAAAAAGGUCGGAUAUUGAGCCAUUGUGUUGAAAGACAAGUGAGCCAAUUUGCAUGAAGUGUCGUGUAACAUCUCCAUGCCUUUUGAAACCUGGUUACUGUGACUCGUGGUUUCUAUGAGUAGAAACUUGGUGCAUCUAGAGCCUUAGGUGCGUCGAAUGUCCCCUGUGGUAUAAUGAGAUCUAUGAUGCUAUUUCUACUUUCAAUUAACUAAAUCUUAUGUGGUUAAGAAAUGAUAUUAUAUUGAUUAUUACAAUUACAAUACUAACUAAAGUGUUAUAGCAUUCCUUUUGGUCGGAUACUUGUAUAUUUUAUAUUUCUCAUUCAAUAUUGUCUGUGUUUAACAUAAGUUGAAGUUUAUCACUCUGUAUUCUGUAUUACCAAUACUGGAAACCGGCAGACUUCAAAAACUCAUGCAUCUGAUGCAAACAUAAAAUAAUAAUUUUCACAAAUGCAUUUGUUUUCAGCUUUGCAUUUGUUUGUGUUUUUGUUCAAUCAGCAGCGUGGGUGCACUUUACAACCCUAUCCUAUCGGUUAAUGUAAGAACAUGAGUAUUUAAUGAGAUUGAAAUGUGUAUAUCCCAUUUAUAGUAGAGGCUGACCUGUUAUAGUACUGUUUUAUAUCUUACUGGUUCAUGCACUAAUAAUACAAAAUCAUAGUGGAUGUAUUAGUAUUUGGAAAAAUCAAUAGUCUCACAUUGGCUAGAAAUAAGGCAUAGGUAGAGCUUAUAAAGCCUAGGCAAUCCUCACCUUAGAAGUAUUAGUGUCUAUCCUAGACACAUUAUUGGGCCACCGUAUUAUCUAUGAACUAAGUUUAGUAGUAUUGGGCAUGAGCAGGUGUAUUAGAAAAAUCUCAAGGCUCACAUUGGUGGGAAAUAAGGCCUACAUACAAUUUCUAAUGUCUAGGCAAUCUUCACCUUACAAGCCGCUUUGAGGGGUUGAGUUCGGCCCCAAACCCUACAAAUUAGACAAACCAUGGUAUUACCAAUUAUUUCACUGUAGGUCCGAGUCUGCGGAGUGGAAAUUUGGCCAGAUAUGAUGAUGUAAUAACUGAAUAUAAAAAAAAGGCAAAAUUACAUAAUUCGUCCCGUAACUUAAUUUCAUUUCAGGUAACAAUUUCGUCAUUUUUUUUUUUUUAUAUAUUUUUUUCCCGAUUUAAUCCUUUGUUACAAAAUGCCAAUGUUGUAUCAUUCUUUAUGGGAUUUUUUCAAUGAAAUCUAGGUUUCUAUGAUGAAGAUUUUGGUUUGUUUAUGAAUUUGAUAAUUUUUUUUUUACAAGUUGAUAUUUUUUGAUAAAAAAGGAUAACAAAGUUGUUGACAUUUUAUAACAUAAAGAAAAGAUGUCGAGUUAAAAUGAAAAAUAGUGACUUAUCGAGUUGAAAUGACGAGAAACAAUCUUUGUAUAUUUUUUUUUCCUUCAGAAUACAUCAUACUAAUUGGUCUCAAAUAUAUGUAAUAAUUGGUCAAAAAAGUUUAUCUAUUUGGUCCAAAUACAUAAACUUUGUUUGACCGGCUUUUGCUUAUAUCUUUUUGAAAUAAAGUGUUAUUGCUGAUGCUGUUACUUGUUUUAUUCUACUCUCUAGUCGAUUAGUUAGAUACAACUGCUGGCUGUGGGUUUAGGCAGAGAUUCUAGCAUACAACUCUGACAUUUUUUAAUGUAGACUUGGUCAGAAUUAGUAGCUUUUGACGUGAAUUGAAAAUAGUUUUUCUUUGUAUUUUAGGAAGGAAUCAAUAUUUUUUUCUUGAUUUAGUCUUGCACAUUUACUUCGAGCUAUAUUUGGAUGCUAUUUUCACAUUUGGAUGUCAUAUUUACUUGUUUCAAUUAGAGAUCUUGGGCUGAAUUUUAUAUUUCAGGUGAAACGCAGAUGUAGGAAGACACCCAUCCAUCGACCUCAUCUUUUCUAAUUCUAAAUUUAUCACUAUGAAGUCUGUCUGAGAUGGAUUUAGAAUUAGCAAAGAUAAGGUCCAUGGAUGGGAUAGACUUAGAGUUAGCAAUGAUAAGGUUCAUGUCUGAACAAGAGGCAGCCACAUACAUAUGCUGCUGGAGCUGUUGCUAAAGCGGAAGCCGCCAUUGCGGAAGCUGAAGAGGCAACAAAGGAGGUACUGACUGCAGAAGCGGAUGCAGAUGCUGCAGACACUUUUGCAGCAGCUGCAUUAAAACACUAAAGGGGAGAAACGUCCAAAGAUGGUCAAUCUCGGCUUUUCCUUCCCUUGUAAGAAAUGCUAAUGAGUGCCCUAAGAGUAACAAACUUAAAUAGUAAGUUUUUGUAAGUUUUUAUAGAAAUUGAUGAAUUCAAUGAAUUGGAAAUUGAACUUGCAUUCAACUUAGAAGCAAAAUAACAUGGAAUGAGUUGUUUUUAUGUUUACACAUAAUAUUAUAUGGGAAUGCCAAAUUUAUUUAUCUUCCAUAAAAUCUCCUUGCAAGGGCAUAAAGCACAUCUCUUCUCAAAACCGAUCAUCUUAAUUGAUUAGAAUUUAGAAGUGUGAUUUGCUUGCGGAGGGAUUUAUCAUUUUGGAGACAGCCUAUUAGGUAUUUCAGUGAUUAUUUGGUAUCUCUAUCAAAUAGAUGCGGUAUUUUUUAUUUGUUGUUUUGCAUAUUUAAAAUUUGUAGAUGAUCUCAGGCUGAUUAAAUUGUGAAGAAUGAGUCAUGAGAAGCAUGAUCUUUGGCGUUGGGUGACAGAUAGUCAGAUUAGUAUCACUCAUUUGCUGAGUGACUAAAGAUUAUUACGACGAACUAGACCUUGAAAUAUCCUUGUUGUCGAGAACAUUGUUUCAAUCUUUUGUUGUAAAUUUUUGAGAGCAGGUGUUUCCAUCCAGAUGUUUAGAUGAAUUUUAAUCUCUUGAUGUAUAUGUAUUUGUUGGAUGUGCGGUAAAUUUUAUUGUUUUUUUAAAGAGAUUGUAUAUGUAAGUGUUGUCAAUUUAGUAUUUUAAGUUUGAGAAAUAACAAUCCCUUAAAUUGAAAUAUAUCAAUCAGCUUAGUCUUUUUUAUUUUA
This is a long non-coding RNA of Medicago truncatula (barrel medic), 4051 nucleotides long. RefSeq lists it as uncharacterized. NCBI's taxonomy places the organism in Eukaryota, Viridiplantae, Streptophyta, Magnoliopsida, Fabales, Fabaceae. The transcript is spliced from 2 exons. The record is from RefSeq and is a predicted model, not a curated record.